Molecule: ribosomal RNA, 164 nt
Filed under: Ichnanthus oplismenoides
Lineage: Eukaryota; Viridiplantae; Streptophyta; Magnoliopsida; Poales; Poaceae
Also listed under: 1 other name
Description: 5.8S ribosomal RNA
Rfam family: 5.8S ribosomal RNA
About the family: 5.8S ribosomal RNA (5.8S rRNA) is a component of the large subunit of the eukaryotic ribosome.
Source: RNAcentral
UAAACGACUCUCGGCAACGGAUAUCUCGGCUCUCGCAUCGAUGAAGAACGUAGCAAAAUGCGAUACCUGGUGUGAAUUGCAGAAUCCCGUGAACCAUCGAGUUUUUGAACGCAAGUUGCGCCCAAGGCCUUUGGGCUGAGGGCACGCCUGCCUGGGCGUCACGC